UACGAAGGGGGCUAGCGUUGCUCGGAAUCACUGGGCGUAAAGCGCACGUAGGCGGGUCCUUAAGUCAGGGGUGAAAUCCCGGAGCCCAACUCCGGAACUGCCUUUGAUACUGGGGAUCUUGAGUCCGGAAGAGGUGAGUGGAACUCCGAGUGUAGAGGUGAAAUUCGUAGAUAUUCGGAAGAACACCAGUGGCGAAGGCGGCUCACUGGUCCGGUACUGACGCUGAGGUGCGAAAGCGUGGGGAGCAAACAGG
This 253-nucleotide ribosomal RNA is filed under the name uncultured bacterium. Its description in RNAcentral is "partial 16S ribosomal RNA". It matches the Rfam family "Bacterial small subunit ribosomal RNA", at positions 524 to 776 of the family's 1533-position model. The record is from RNAcentral.